AUGACCGAUCUCUUUUGGUGUUUAGAGGCUCAAGAUUAUAUCUAGCACCAUUUGAAAUCGGUUAU
This is a non-coding RNA of Pelobates cultripes (western spadefoot toad), 65 nucleotides long. NCBI's taxonomy places the organism in Eukaryota, Metazoa, Chordata, Amphibia, Anura, Pelobatidae. The record is from the annotation of a GenBank genome assembly.